This 497-nucleotide ribosomal RNA is filed under the name uncultured bacterium. RNAcentral describes it as "partial 16S ribosomal RNA". It matches the Rfam family "Bacterial small subunit ribosomal RNA", at positions 28 to 507 of the family's 1533-position model. The record is from RNAcentral.
GAUGAACGCUGGCGGCGUGCCUAAUAAAUGCAAGUCGAGCGAACAGAUGAGGAGCUUGCUCCUCUGACGUUAGCGGCGGACGGGUGAGUAACACGUGGAUAACCUACCUAUAAGACUGGGAUAACUUCGGGAAACCGGAGCUAAUACCGGAUAAUAUAUUGAACCGCAUGGCUCAAUAGUGAAAGACGGUUUUGCUGUCACUUAUAGAUGGAUCCGCGCCGCAUUAGCUAGUUGGUAAGGUAACGGCUUACCAAGGCAACGAUGCAUAGCCGACCUGAGAGGGUGAUCGGCCACCCUGGAACUGAGACACGGACAAGACUCCUACGGAGGGCAGCCGUAGGGAAUCUUCCGCAAUGGGAGAAAGCCUGACGAAGCAACGCCGCGUGAGUGAUGAAGGUCUUCGGAUCGUAAAACUCUGUUAUUGGGAAAGAACAAAUGUGUAAGUAACUAUGCACGUCUUGACGGUACCUGAUCAGAAAGCCACGGCUAACUACGUG